GUCAGGGUAGCUCAGCUGGUUAGAGCGUAGCAUUCAUAACGCUAAGGUCGGGAGUUCGAGCCUCCCCCUUGACACAA
This 77-nucleotide transfer RNA is filed under the name Candidatus Magasanikiibacteriota bacterium. Its description in RNAcentral is "Candidatus Magasanikbacteria bacterium tRNA-Met". It matches the Rfam family "tRNA". From Rfam's summary of the family: Transfer RNA (tRNA) molecules are approximately 80 nucleotides in length. Their secondary structure includes four short double-helical elements and three loops (D, anti-codon, and T loops). Lineage: Bacteria; Candidatus Magasanikiibacteriota. The record is from RNAcentral.